GCCGUGGGGGCUUGGCUGGUUGUUCGCAGCUGCAGCUGCAGGUGCAGGUGGAGAAGCACCAUGCUCUUUGUUGUCCUUUCAGGACCCCAUCCCUGUGUCCACUGCCCUCCUUGGAGACACGUCCGAUACGACGUCCACCGGCCUUGCCCAGCGCUUAGCCAGGAAGACCAACAAGCAGGUGUUUGUCAGCUAUAAUCUUCAGAACACAGACAGCAGCUUCGCGUUCCUGGUGGAGAACAGGAUCAAGGAGGAGAUGGAGGCCUUUCCAGAGAAGUUCUAGCCGCGGGGCGGCGGCGGGGGCCUGGCUCGAGCAGAGGCUUAAAUAAAUGGACUGGAGCUCUCACUGCC
Molecule: non-coding RNA, 348 nt
Organism: Vicugna pacos (alpaca)
Lineage: Eukaryota; Metazoa; Chordata; Mammalia; Artiodactyla; Camelidae
Source: RefSeq, a predicted model, not a curated record